GCCCUCAUCGUCUAGUGGCCUAGGACACUGGCCUUUCACGCCGGCGACCGGGGUUCAAAUCCCCGUGAGGGCGCCA
Molecule: transfer RNA, 76 nt
Filed under: Mesotoga prima MesG1.Ag.4.2
Lineage: Bacteria; Thermotogati; Thermotogota; Thermotogae; Kosmotogales; Kosmotogaceae
Also listed under: 22 other names
Description: tRNA-Glu (TTC) (tRNA-Glu-TTC-1-1)
Rfam family: tRNA
About the family: Transfer RNA (tRNA) molecules are approximately 80 nucleotides in length.
Source: RNAcentral